GCUGGGCGUGGUGGCGCACGUCUGCAAUCCCAGCAACUCCGGAGGCUGAGACAGGAGAAUCACAGGUUGGGGGCCAGCCUCAACAAUUUAGUGAGACUGUGCCUCAA
Molecule: small RNA, 107 nt
Filed under: Marmota monax (woodchuck)
Lineage: Eukaryota; Metazoa; Chordata; Mammalia; Rodentia; Sciuridae
Source: RNAcentral